RNAcentral lists this ribosomal RNA (206 nucleotides) under uncultured bacterium. RNAcentral's name for it is "partial 16S ribosomal RNA". It matches the Rfam family "Bacterial small subunit ribosomal RNA", at positions 568 to 774 of the family's 1533-position model. The record is from RNAcentral.
CGCGUAGGUGGUUUGGUCAGUCAGAUGUGAAAGCCCUGGGCUUAACCUGGGAAUUGCAUUUGAUACUGCCAGACUAGAGUAUGGUAGAGGGAAGUGGAAUUCCGGGUGUAGCGGUGAAAUGCGUAGAUAUCCGGAGGAACAUCAGUGGCGAAGGCGGCUUCCUGACCAAUACUGACACUGAGGUGCGAAAGCGUGGGUAGCAAACA